UACCCACUAUGCUCAGCCCUAAAAUUCGAUAGGUCACUACGCCCCCUAUCCGCCCGGGUACUACGAGCAUCAGCUUGAAACCCAAAGGACUUGGCGGUGCUUCACAUCCGUCUAGAGGAGCCUGUCCUAUAACCGAUAACCCCCGUUAAACCUCACCCUCCCUUGUUAAUCCCGCCUAUAUACCGCCGUCGUCAGCCUANCCUGUGAAGGACUAGAAGUGAGCAAGAUUGGUAAGACCCAAAACGUCAGGUCGAGGUGUAGUAUAUGAGAGGGGAAGAGAUGGGCUACAUUUCCUAAAUCAGGAAAUACGAACAAUGAACUGAAAUAAGCAUUAGAAGGUGGAUUUAGCAGUAAGCAGAGAAACAGAGUGUCCUGCUGAAG
RNAcentral lists this ribosomal RNA (381 nucleotides) under Pomacentrus moluccensis (lemon damsel). RNAcentral describes it as "partial 12S ribosomal RNA". It matches the Rfam family "Bacterial small subunit ribosomal RNA", at positions 783 to 1367 of the family's 1533-position model. The record is from RNAcentral. Lineage: Eukaryota; Metazoa; Chordata; Actinopteri; Pomacentridae.